Molecule: long non-coding RNA, 3280 nt
Organism: Hyalella azteca
Lineage: Eukaryota; Metazoa; Arthropoda; Malacostraca; Amphipoda; Hyalellidae
Exons: 2
Source: RefSeq, a predicted model, not a curated record
AUAAAUUUGUACUCCUAGGAUAUUCAAUAUUUCAUUUGAAAAAUUUCCCGUUUCAAUGUGACUGUUUCUCUAUCACUUAUAUUAUAAUACCUUGAGAGGAAAGGGAUAAUCUGUCGUCUGUUGACUUCUUCCUUCCUUUCUGAGGCUCUGAGGAUCACAUACGAAGAAAAACUUCAUAUAUAAGUGAACGAAAUCAAAGAGUCAUUAUCUCAGCGCAGUCUCCCCUGUAAAUGGAAGUCUCUCGAUCAAAGAAAUAGUUUUAUGAGGGACUGGAAUAUUUAUAACACACUAAUCGAACUAAAUUGACCGAAGUGCUUUGACUGGUUUCACUACAUUCUGAAACAAACUGGACUUGGCGAUGAGUCCCCAGCGUCUUCGGCUCAAUAAAUACGAGUUUAUAACAACCGUGGCAUGAAUAUUGGAAACUACUGCGGGAGCCAGAAAUUUAAUGUCAUGUAUCAGAACCUUGUUUAUUUUCCAAGACAAGCAAACAUUGUAUUCUUCCAUAGUAUCCUUAAUAUUUGUUUCGGCUGUAGCAGUCCCAGGCCACGAUGGAUCGCCGCCAGUUCAGUACACAGCGAUUUUCCUGAAAUGUGUUCAACUUCUACGUCCAUUAAAUGAUCAGUCCUUGUGAGAGAGCACUUCCUGUGGCUGGCCCGGGCUGAGAUGAACUGAUUACUGAUAUUCUCCUAGAUUAUGUUUGGCGGCAAGCUUGCUGAUGUGGUAGGUGUGAUACGAGCAACUCGAAAAAUAUUUUUCACCAUCAUAAUUGAGCCACUCAAGGUUAUGGUAAGUCUUACCACACCUUUGUCCAGAAGCACUGCUCAGGCAAUCGAUUCAUUCGCGAGUAACGAUGCGCUGACAAGCUAUUCAGAAAAUGCACGCUACCUAACUCUUUGGUUUUAUACGAGUAUAUUUUGAUAAUAUGAAGCAGAAGAAAAUGAAAUAGAAUUUAUUUUCAACUUCAACCAAUAAUGAAAUUAGACUCCUUUAAUUACAAACAAUACGACAGAAGACGGCCACACAAUAGCUUUUCAAAAAGCAAUCCUACAGAGAGACUACCAUCAACUAGACUUUUAGUAUGGUUUAGUUUUAUUGUCACAACUUUUUGACAGGUAGGAUCGCAGUGGCAAGCUACAGCUAGCAACAGUUGAAUCACCACAGAGUCUAAUUUACCGCUUACAAGUACAAAAAAAAUGCAUACCAGAAAUGCAUUCAUUUGGGUUCAACUGAGGAUAACGAUCUCAAAGCGAACGAUAUAUGACAAUAGAGAUCGUAACAAUAUCGUUUGUAUAUUAAUCAUCUCUAUUAGAAGGUAAGACUACUAUGUCGCUGAAGGUAGUGACAAACUAUAUAAACGUGCGUAUGAACAUUUAUAAGGCAUGUGUCACGAGGUCAAUUAAGUAUAAGGCGCGUUUCAUGAAAUCCAUCAUGGUGGUUCGUGAGCAUCAAACCCUCACGAAAUAUGGAAAACUGGCAUUGAAAAAUGUUCAGCAUACAAACGCUGACUCAGUCGACGUAACACCAGAAAUAAUAAAAUUCAUAUUCAAUAAAAUCAGUAGAAAGAAGUUAUCCAGCGCCAGAGAUUCAUUCAACUUGAUUCAACUAAGUAGGUAUAACUACAACAAAGGAACUGCCUAAAUUAUUCAUCGCAACGAUGCAAACAAGUGAAAGACAAAGAUUAACAAUAUUUAUUUAAUCUACACUAUUGCAAUUAAACUAUGUAAAUGAACAACUGGACAAAAAUACAGUUUUGUAGCUCCAUAUAAAUCGUUAUUUUUUUAUAAAAAUGUUAACCGAUCAUUUAGUUGCGAGAUGACUGAAGCAACAUAAGGUUUGGGAACUGUUUUGCGUCUCAAUGGUCUAAAAAUACCGUAUAAGGAGAGAUACCCUUUAUCGCAUGGAUUUUGCUUGAUAAUAUGCACCUUUACUUAAUUACAGUUAUCAAGCAUAAGAUUAAUAGCAGCUACGGGGAACAGUUUAGUUCAUAAUUAUAGUUACUCGUUAAUGCCCAACAGUUAGUAACAACUUCAAGGAUGAAGCAAGAGGAUAACGUCAGAGCUUUCAAAACCGAAAAAAAGUCUGGAGUAAGGACUUGCAGGAGGACGUAGUCAAGACUGCCAAGAAGGCAUAGUCAAGACUGCCAAGAAGGCAUAGUCAAGACUGACAAGAAGGCAUAGUCAAGACUGCCAAGAGGACGUAGUCAAGAUUGCAAACAAGGCAUAGUCAAGACUGCCAAGAAGGCGUAGUCAAGACUGCCCAGAGGACAUAGUCAAGAUUGCAAAGAAGGCGUAGUCAAGACUGUCAAAAAGGCAUAGUCAAGACUGUCAAAAAGGCAUAGUCAAGACUGUCAAAAAGGCGUGGUCAAGACUGCCAAGUGGGGCGUGCUAGCAAUUGCCGUUCCCUCUCAGCCAUUCUUGCCCGUUCCCUUGACUGAGCUUCAGAUCGUCUGGCUGACUCUUGCACUAAUCGUUGGGCUCUGGCCUGGAAAAAUCAAUAGACACCAAUUAAUAUUAAUAUAUUGGAUGCAUACUUUAAUUCUACUUGACAAAUGAAGUAUGAUAAAUACAUCUUGUUGGUCAGCUGUAAUAUAUUGACUUAGAGAGACUCACUUGCAACUUGUUGGUCCUGUAUGAUAUGUGCUGCAUGUCGGACACCAGGUUCUUGGCGAUAUGUGUGUACUUGGUCAAUUCUUCAAACUGAAACAUUGGUAGCAAGUUGCAAAUAGCAAUUUUGUCAUCAUCGUAAUAAUUCAAUUUACUGGCUCUAAAAAAAAUAUAUUGCACAUGAUGUCGGAAAGGUUACGAACUUUCGUGCAUAUGUCUUCAUUUUUGUCCAUCCCUUUCUGUAAACCAUUGAGAACGAUUUAAUCUUCACCCUUUAUUAAAUUAACGUCAUUAUUGUCAAUUCUAAUAAUUUUAUUCGAAGCAGUCAUUUAGCGACCGGGCUGGUUGCGACUUUUCUCAAUGCUUCCGAGGCUUUCCCUGCAGCCAAGCAGAAAUCUUGCAUCUCUGGCCGGCAACAGACAGAUUCACUUCAACCUUCACACAUCCAACUCGUCCCUGUGUCGUCUCGCGUGGUCUCAGCCUCUAGCCGGUUCUUCAACUGGACAACUCCUCACCUGCACCCAGAAGGCCUGUUCUUCCCACAAAGAAGCCGAUGAAUGUCGUGACGAGAUGUUCAUGAUAACGGAGGGGGGCACAACUUUCCUCUACCUCUCCAGUGGACGGGCGACCACGGCUUUCGUUUCUUUUUGAAUAAAUUCAAAUUUGAAUCUGGA